AUUGAACGCUGGCGGCAGGCUUAACACAUGCAAGUCGAACGGUAGCAGGAGAAAGCUUGCUUUCUUGCUGACGAGUGGCGGACGGGUGAGUAAUGCUUGGGAAUCUGGCUUAUGGAGGGGGAUAACUACGGGAAACUGUAGCUAAUACCGCGUAGAAUCGGAAGAUGAAAGUGCGGGACCGCAAGGCCGCAUGCCAUGAGAUGAGCCCAAGUGGGAUUAGGUAGUUGGUGGGGUAAAGGCCUACCAAGCCUGCGAUCUCUAGCUGGUCUGAGAGGAUGGCCAGCCACACUGGAACUGAGACACGGUCCAGACUCCUACGGGAGGCAGCAGUGGGGAAUAUUGCGCAAUGGGGGAAACCCUGACGCAGCCAUGCCGCGUGAAUGAAGAAGGCCUUCGGGUUGUAAAGUUCUUUCGGUAUUGAGGAAGGUUGAUGUGUUAAUAGUACAUCAAAUUGACGUUAAAUACAGAAGAAGCACCGGCUAACUCCGUGCCAGCAGCCGCGGUAAUACGGAGGGUGCGAGCGUUAAUCGGAAUAACUGGGCGUAAAGGGCACGCAGGCGGUUAUUUAAGUGAGGUGUGAAAGCCCCGGGCUUAACCUGGGAAUUGCAUUUCAGACUGGGUAACUAGAGUACUUUAGGGAGGGGUAGAAUUCCACGUGUAGCGGUGAAAUGCGUAGAGAUGUGGAGGAAUACCGAAGGCGAAGGCAGCCCCUUGGGAAUGUACUGACGCUCAUGUGCGAAAGCGUGGGGAGCAAACAGG
This 759-nucleotide ribosomal RNA is filed under the name Haemophilus influenzae. RNAcentral describes it as "bacterial SSU rRNA". It matches the Rfam family "Bacterial small subunit ribosomal RNA", at positions 28 to 776 of the family's 1533-position model. Lineage: Bacteria; Pseudomonadati; Pseudomonadota; Gammaproteobacteria; Pasteurellales; Pasteurellaceae. The record is from RNAcentral.